AUCARGUUCGAUUCCGGAGAGGGAGCCUGAGAAACGGCUACCACAUCCAAGGAAGGCMGCARGCGCGCAAAUUACCCAAUCCAGACAUUGGGAGGUAGUGACGAGAAAUACCGGAGUGGAACAUAUUGKUGCACGACCGGAAUGAACGUAAUCUAAUAAUUUCGAUGAGUAUCUACUGGAGGGCAAGUCKGGUGCCAGCAGCCGCGGUAAUUCCAGCUCCAGUAGUGUAUAUCAAAAUUGUUGCGGUUAAAACGCUCGUAGUUGGAUUACGGAGGCCUCAAUUAUUGCAUAAUUCUGUGUAGUAAGGUAGGCCUUCUUCAUCGCAAGAUUUGUUUGUGGACUUUAUUGGCUACAAAUAAGAACUUGCGGAGCGUGCCUUGAAUAAAGCAUAGUGCUCAAAGCAGGCGUACGCUCGAGUGUAAUAGCAUGGAACGAAUAGUUAAACUUUGGUUUAGUUUGUUGGUUAUAAUUUGGGCGCAAGUUCAAAUUCUAAACUGGGUUUAGAUUAAAAGGGACACUUGAGGGCAUUAGUACUUUGUGGCGAGAGGUGAAAUUCUUUGACCCACAAAAGACUGACUAUUGCGAAAGCAUUUGCCAAGAAUGUUUUCAUUAAUCAAGAACGAAAGUCAGAGGUUCGAAGACGAUCAGAUACCGUCCUAGUUUUGACAGCAAACAAUGCUACCACGGGAUCAGUCCGGAACGAUCCAGGUUGGUCCCCCCGGGAAACCUAAAGGGUUCUAGUUCCGGGGGGAGUAUGGUCGCAAGGCUGAAACUUAAAGGAAUUGACGGAAGGGCACCACCAGGAGUGGAGCCUGCGGCUUAAUUUGACUCAACACGGGACAACUCACCAGGUCCAGACAUUGAAAGGAUUGACAGACUGAGAGAUCUUUCAUGAUACAGUGAAUGGUGGUGCAUGGCCGUUCUUAGUUGGUGGAGUGAUCUGUCAGGUCUAUUCCGGUAACGAGCGAGACCACGAUCUCUAUUUAAUUAAUGUGCUACUCUCAUUUCGGUGGGUAUACGUUUGCGCCUUAUCAUAGAGAGACUACCGGAGGUAAAGCCGGGGGAAGCGUGGCAAUAACAGGUCUGUGAUGCCCUUCGAUGUCCUGGGCUGCACGCGCGCUACAAUGGCAGUGACAAAGAGUUGACCUGCUCUGAGAAGAGUGGGAAAUCUUGUAAAUCGSUGUCGUAAUUGGGAUUGAGCCUUGUAAUUAUUGCUCAUGAAAGAGGAAUCCUC
This 1234-nucleotide ribosomal RNA is filed under the name Ceratomyxa sp. RE_1. Its description in RNAcentral is "SSU rRNA". It matches the Rfam family "Eukaryotic small subunit ribosomal RNA", at positions 371 to 1635 of the family's 1831-position model. Lineage: Eukaryota; Metazoa; Cnidaria; Myxozoa; Bivalvulida; Ceratomyxidae. The record is from RNAcentral.